This 481-nucleotide ribosomal RNA is filed under the name uncultured bacterium. RNAcentral's name for it is "partial 16S ribosomal RNA". It matches the Rfam family "Bacterial small subunit ribosomal RNA", at positions 30 to 506 of the family's 1533-position model. The record is from RNAcentral.
AUUGAACGCUGGCGGCAUGCCUUACACAUGCAAGUCGAGCGGUAACAGGUCUUCGGAUGCUGACGAGUGGCGAACGGGGGAGUAAUACAUCGGAACGUGCCCGAUCGGGGGGGAUAAGGGAGAGAAAGCUUUGCUAAUACCGAAUACGAUCUACGGAUGAAAGCAGGGGACCGCAAGGCCUUGCGCGGACGGAGCGGCCGAUGGCAGAUUAGGUAGUUGGUGGGAUAAAAGCUUACCAAGCCGACGAUCUGUAGCUGGUCUGAGAGGACGACCAGCCACACUGGGACUGAGACCCGGCCCAGACUCCUACGGGAGGCAGCAGUGGGGAAUUUUGGACAAUGGGCGAAAGCCUGAUCCAGCCAUGCCGCGUGCAGAAUGAAGGCCUUCGGGUUGUAAACUGCUUUUGUACGGAACGAAAAGACUCUUUCUAAUAAAGAGGGUCCAUGACUGUACCGUAAGAAUAAGCACCGGCUAACUACGU